Molecule: non-coding RNA, 28 nt
Filed under: Mus musculus (house mouse)
Lineage: Eukaryota; Metazoa; Chordata; Mammalia; Rodentia; Muridae
Source: RNAcentral
GUAAUGUGCUGUAUCCCAAACGAGGGCA